RNAcentral lists this ribosomal RNA (427 nucleotides) under uncultured bacterium. RNAcentral's name for it is "partial 16S ribosomal RNA". It matches the Rfam family "Bacterial small subunit ribosomal RNA", at positions 355 to 774 of the family's 1533-position model. The record is from RNAcentral.
UGGGGAAUAUUGCACAAUGGGCGCAAGACUGAUGCAGCCAUGCCGCGUGUAUGAAGAAGGCCUUCGGGUUGUAAAGUACUUUCAGCGGGGAGGAAGGUGUUGAGGUUAAUAACCUCAGCAAUUGACGUUACCCGCAGAAGAAGCACCGGCUAACUCCGUGCCAGCAGCCGCGGUAAUACGGAGGGUGCAAGCGUUAAUCGGAAUUACUGGGCGUAAAGCGCACGCAGGCGGUCUGUCAAGUCGGAUGUGAAAUCCCCGGGCUCAACCUGGGAACUGCAUUCGAAACUGGCAGGCUAGAGUCUUGUAGAGGGGGGUAGAAUUCCAGGUGUAGCGGUGAAAUGCGUAGAGAUCUGGAGGAAUACCGGUGGCGAAGGCGGCCCCCUGGACAAAGACUGACGCUAAGGUGCGAAAGCGUGGGGAGCAAACA